UUUAAUUAUCCGCCUCUCUCACGAGUCACGAGGGAUGCCCGCUCGCUGUCCCAAAGUCACACAUUCGUUCUGUACUCUCUGUCUGUCUCUCUCCCCUCGUUCCUACUCGCUCCUCGCCCUGUGCCCUCUUUCGCGCACAAUCAGAUGCCCUCGUCCGCCUGUGCCCUCUCUCGCAGGUUGAUAACUUCGCCCUCUCGCCCCUCGCCCUGUGCCUCUCUCUCAACGGUCAGAUGCACUAGCCACUCGCCCCUUGCCCUGCGAUCCCUUACAGCGCCAAACAUUGAAUGCACAACAGAAGAAGACGCCUCGCGAGGAAGAACACCAGGUCGGCAUCGUUCGGCUGCAUCAAACGAAUCAUUGGUUCUUCAUCGUUGAAACCCCACAACGUUGCCCUAAUUCCCAUUUCGUUUGAGGUAUUUCCCCACCGUAGGAAUGUUGUCAACAAAAUUUUAGAGUUGCAGCUCUGCCAGUUCCAAUGUUGCGAGGAAGUUGGACAUGUCUGCAAGGACAGACAUUUUCUUUGUCCAUCAUGGAGAAUUUGCCUUGUUAAUUUGCAUCCAUUCGGCUUCAGAGCGUUCCUAUCCUCAUCUUGAUUCUGCUGCAAACUUUUGUGAAGUUUUCACGAGUCUAUGUGGAAAUCACUUGCACAUUAAGGACGUAGGCAUCCAUGGAAGACUUGCAAACUGGGAAGACGAUUGGUAGAGGCUAUGAGAAAGGGGGCAUCAACUUCCUGUCUAAUUCUGUGGGUAUUGCAGCCAUCUCGACUUCUUCAUUGUCCUCCUCCUUCCAGUGGCAUCUCAGACUUGGUCAUCCAUCUGUCUCCAAGCUCCGUCACCUACUUCCCCAUCUAUCAAUACUAGAGUUGUUCUAGUGUGACACCUGUCAACUUGGCAAGCACACCCGUAGCAGUUAUUCAUCGAAUCUUAGUCUGUCCAGUUGUAGACUAUUUGAUUUUCUUCAUGUUGAUGUGUGGGGUCCUAGCAGAGUUGCUAGUAGGUCUAGAUUUUGUUAUUUUCUUGUCAUUGUUGAUAAUUAUUCUCGAGUCACUUGAGUUUUUCUGUUGAAAGAAAGGUCUGAAGUCAUAUGUACUCUCAAGAACCUUAUUAUUGAAAUAAAGGCCAGUUUGGUAUUCUUGUUAAAAGCAUUCGCACUGAUAAGGCUCUUGAGUUUAAGGAAUGUACGUUAAUGAAAUUUUACUCUGAUAAUGACAUUUCUCCUGAAUUUACUUGUCCCCAUACCUCCCAAGAAAAUGGAGUAGCUGAGCGGAAACAUCGCCAACUUUUAAAUGUGGCAUGCUCCCUAAUGCUUCAUACUAAUUUACCUGCAUAUUUUUUGAGAGAUGUCAUCCUCACUGCUUGUUACUUGACCAACCGUUUACUCUCAUCCUCCAUUGACAAUAAGGUUCCCAUUAAACUUGUGCACCCACAAUAACACUUAUUUCUAGUAGCUCCCAAAGUAUUUGGUUGCACAUGUUUCAUUCACAUACUUGGACCCACACGUGAUAAAUUGGGUGCCCAAGCCAUUAAGUAUAUCUCUAUUGGCUACUCCAAAAAUCACAAAGGUUACAAAUGCUUUGACCCCUUGACUCACAAGGAGUAUAUCAGUGCGGAUGUGACAUUCUUUGAGUCUCAGCCUUAUUAUAGUUCCUCACCUACCUCUACUGAGAUGCCAUUGUCAUCUGAACCACUACCUAUUCCUUUGGAAUCAUUCCCUUACAAGUCUCCUUCUGGGGAUUCUCCCGCUGUAGUGUCCAAGUUUUGUAAUCCUCCGCUGGUCUACACACGUCGACAUGACCCUUCCUCAACCGUUUCUCAAGAUGUAAGUACAUCUGAAGUGAGUAUACAUAGUCCAUCUGAACCCUAUCAAGACUUACCUAUUUCUCUUCACAAAGGCAAGUGACAAUGUACUCUGCAUCUUAUAUCUCAAUUUGUUUCUACUAACGGUGUUGGUAAAAGUAUGCAACAGUUUAUUCAAGCUCUGGCUGCUCAUGCAGUUCCUACUUGUCACCAACAGACCUUAUUAGAUACCCAAUGGAGACAAGUUAUGCAAGAUGAGAUGGAUGCAUUAGUUCAGCGAGACACUUGGGAACUUGUUGAUCCUCCUCCUGAUUGUGACAUUGUUGGCUCUAAGUGGGUAUUCAUAGUGAAAUAUAAUUCUGAUGGUUCUAUGAAAAGAUACAAAGCUCGUUUGGUUGCUAAGGGCUAUAGGCAAACUUACGAGGUUGAUUUCUUCGAGACUUUUUCUCCUGUUGCUCGGUUGGGGACCAUUCAUCUUAUCAUCUUUGUGGCUGUACACCAUGAUUGACACAUGUAUCAGCUUGAUGUUAAAAAUGCAUUUCUGUACGGUGAUCUUGGUGAGACUAUCUAUAUGCAACAACCGUCAGGGUUUCAACGAUAGGAAGAGCGCGGAAAAGUGUGCAAACUGAAGAAAGCUAUUUAUGGACUCAAGCAGAGUCUUCGUGCAUGGUUUCACAAGUUCUCUGAGGUAGUCUCAAAGUGUAGCUUUGCGAGAUCCCCUCUUGAUCAUUCUCUAUUUAUCAAGAAGAAUUCCAGGGGUAUGACCGUUCUAGUGGUUUAUGUUGAUGAUAUUAUCAUGACAAGUGACUCCGAUCAAGAAAUUUCUGAUACAAAGUUGUUUCUUCAAAAACACUUUGUGACGAAAGAUCUUGGUCAACUACGAUAUUUAUUGGGAAUAAAGGUUGCUCGUAACAGGGAAGGUGUAGUUCUCUCAAAACGGAAGUAUGUUCUUGAUUUAUUGCAGGACACCGGGAUGCUAGGAGUUAAACCAGUCAAUCUACCUAUGAAUCCAUGCAUACAUCUUCAUGAUGACCAAUUAGAAUUAGUGGAUUCUCGAUCAUACAUAUCUCUUUGUUACUAUGACCAGACCAGACAUUAGCUUUGCAGUGAGGAAACUAAGUCAAUUUACAGAAAGACCCAGGAAAGUUCAUUGGGAUGUUGCUUUAAUGGUGGUCAAAUAUCUGAAAUCAUCUCUUGGCAAAGGACUUUUAUUCACAAAAGGCAAGACCCUGGAAGUGGAAGCCUAUAGUGAUGCUAACUAUGCUAGCUCAGUCGAAGACAGGAAAUCUACCACAAAGUUCUGUGUAUUUGUGGGAGACAACGGAGAAGCAAAAAUCAAGGUAUGAAAAUUUCUUUGCUCCACCGUUCUAAAACACCAUCCAUGAAUGAGGCUAUUGCUAAACUUCAAAUAGAAGAAAAUCGACUUUGUCUUGAUAGAGAAAAAACAAACAUUGUUCUUGCCAUUUUGUCACAAUAUAAAUAAUACAAAUGAUUGAACAAGGCCGAUUAUUCAAAAAGACGAUUGGAGAAGGUUUUAGAAUAAAUGAUUUCUAUUACAUAGAAUUUUUGGACCUUUCAAGACCCUCAUACCAUAUCAUCAAAGAAUGUGACAUUCAAACUUGGCAUCAAAGACUUGACAUUCAAAUCUAGAAAAAAUGUCUUAUCUUCUCUUCUUGAAAAAACAUUGUCAAAAAACUUUUAUUGUAAUGAGUGUAACAAGGCAAAAAUGAAAGUCUUACCUUUUGAUAAUAGAAAAUUUGUUGCUCAAGUGCCUUUUGAAUUUGUGCAUUCAGAUGUAUGGGGACCGGCUCCUAAUAUGUCUAAAGGUGGAUUAUUGUAUUGUUUGACCUUUAUUGAUUAUUUCUCUAGACAUAUUUGGGUUUAUUUUCUCAAACACAAAUCAGAGGUAUUUGCAACCUUCAAAAAUUUCAAUAACAUGAUCAAAACCCAAUUCGACUCCAACAUUAAAAUCUUUAGAAGUUAUUCAGGAAGAGAAUUUAUUUCAAAUGAAUUUCAACAAUUUCUAAAAGAUAAAGGCAUUGUAUGUAAAAAAUCUUGCCCAAACACUCCACAACAAAAUGGAGUGGCUGAACGAAAACAUAGACACAUUAUAAAAACCACAAGAGCUCUUCUUCUAUUCAAAAAUGUUUCCAAAAACUUUUGGGCUGAGGCUGUUUUGACAUCAACAUAUUUGAUUAAUAGAAUGCCUACCAAACUUUUGAAACAUAUUUCUCCAUUUGAAAAAUUACACAAUAUUAGACCAAAUUACAAUAGACUUAAGGUUUUUCGCUGCAAAUGUUUUGUCUUAAGUAACAAAGAUGACAAGCUCUCUUCCAAAGCUAUUAAUUGUGUGUUCAUUGGGUAUUCAAAAACACAAAAGGGUUAUAAAUGUUAUGAUAUUGGAAGAGAUAAAAUAUAUGUUACUAGAAAUGUGAUCUUUUUGGAAAAUAAAGAUGGCUUUAAAAAUGAGCCCAAACAACUAGAAGAUUAUGCUUUUCUAUGGACUGAUUAUGAUGAUGAUGAUGAUUCCUAUGGUGAGGAACAAGUUGAAAGAAGAUAGUACUAAUCUCAAUCCUCCAAGAGACAAUAAUGUUUAUAGGAGAAGAUGUCAUGCAACCCAAGAAACUAAUCAAUCCAAUCCUAGAAGUUCCCAAAGACAUAUUAGGCCUCCUCACGAUUUAUAUCAUACGAGUCUUUUUCUCCUAAAUAUCGAGCUUAUUUUAUGGCACAUCACUCAUUUUAUGAGCCAUCAUCUUAUCUUCAGGCUAAAGAAGAUCCAAAUUGGAUUAAAGUCAUUGAAAGCCCUUGAAGGUAAUGAGACUUGGGAUAUUGUUUCUCUACCAAUAGCGAAAAAGACCAUAGGAUGUCAUUGGAUUUAUUAAGUUAAAAUUAGAAGUGAUGGGACACUAGAAAGGUAUAAGGCUAAACUUGUUGCUAAAGGUUAUGCUCAAGAAUAUAAAAUUGAUUAUGAAGAAACUUUUGCUCCUGUUUCCCGUAUGACCUCUGUUAAAACUCUUAUUAUCGUUGUUUCAACUAAACAAUGGUCUAUUUUUCAAAUGAAUGUUGAAAAUGCUUUUCUAAAUGUAAGUUAAAUGAAGAAGUCUUCAUGAGUGCCCCUCCUGGACUUAAUCUACGUUAGGACAAAGUGUUACGACUUAAUAAAGCUCUUUAUGGUUUAAAACAAGUUCCUAAGGCUUGGUUUGACAAAUUUAGUAAUGUUAUGUUUGAUGAAAGUUUUUAAUCUUGCUAUUCAAAUGCUGCCAUGUUUGUGAAAAACACUUUAGUAGGUAUAAUUGUUUUGUUGUUGUAUGUUGAUGAUAUGGUAAUUACUGGCAGUGAUGAUAAAGGAAUCAUAGAGAUAAAACAAUUUCUUAAGAAUUGCUUUCAAAUGACUGAUUUGGAAAGACUAACAUAUUUUCUUGGAAUUGAAGUUGCCUUUAGCAAACGUGGUUAUUUAUUUUCACAAAUGAAGUUUGAUAGUAGAUUAAUUGAUAGAGCAGAUAUUUCAGACAACAAAAUUGUAGAUACUCCAAAAGCUCUAGGAGUCAAAAUGAAGAUUGAUGACAGAGAGAUAUUAGAGAAUCCUACUCCUUAUCUCUCCAGCACCAGACUAGAUAUUGCUCAUGCCGUUCAUAUUAUGAGUCAAUUCCAACAAAAACCCACUUCAGUACACAAGGGAGCAGCAAUGCUAAUUGCGAGUUAUGUGAAAAAAAAAUCAACAAAAGACUUUUCUUGUCUUCAUCCUCUAUAUUAGAAUUAGUUGCUUAUGCAGAUGCUGAUUGGGGUGUAGAUCCCAACAAUAAGCACUCCAACACUAGUUUUUGUGUGUUUUUAGGCAAUUCCUUAAUUUCUUAGCGAUGCAAGAAACAAAAUAAGGUGUCUCUAUCAUCAACAGAAGCUGAAUAUCAAGCCACAACAUCUAUAACAAUAGAAAUUGUGUGGCUCAAAAGUUUGUUGAAAGAUAUGGGAAUUCAUAUCACGGAUUCUGUCAAGUUUUAUUGUGACAACAAAAGUGCAAUCUAUAUUGCUAGCAGUCACACAUUUCACGAAAGAACAAAAAUAUAGAGAUGGUCUGUCAUUAUGUUCGUGAAGAAUUUCUUCAGAAAAUUAUUGCUCACUCCUAUGUUCCAUCUGAAUAUCAACUAGGCGAUUUCUUCACCAAGGCACUUGCUGCUGUUAGGUUUCAAUUUCUUCUUGGCAAACUUUCGGUUAUCACACCAUAAGUUUAAGGGGGAGUAUUAGAAUGUAUGUAUCCCAAUCUAUAUACAUAUCAAUAUGUAUGUAUAUUACAUAUAUUAGUCAUUCAGGUACUGAGGAUACUUAUGUAACUUUUUCUUUGUUUAUGUAUUUUUCCUUUUUCUGCGUUUCCUUUUUACCCUUUUCUUUUUCUGUUUUAUCUAAAGGAGGACUUGGAAUUAGCUGUUGGGCAGCUCCAGUGGCUAGAUUUCUAGCUGUUGGGAGCAAGCAAGAGCUACUCCCUUUUUCUCCGUCCUUUUUUUGUUCUAUAAAUAAGGGACUUGGAACCCUUGUUUGUUAAGGCUUUUAGGCCUCUUCUUUUGUAUCUAUUUGAGAUUAAUAGAGGCAUUCUUCUCCUCAAGUUUGAGGUUUGUUUUGUGUUACUAUUGGAGUUGUUGGGUUCUUCAAGAGUGUAUCUCUUGAAGCUUUUGGAUUGUCAAGUUUUGGGCCAUUUUUACACAUAAACACAAACACAUCAUAUGUGGUAAACUAAUUAUUAGGUAUUUGAUGCCAAAUAAAAGUCUAUAUUUCAAGUUUUACCCUAUUAAGAAAACACAACAAAAAUCUUCAACACUUCAAGACAGAAAAUAAAAGGCAACAACUGAAUCAAAUAAGUCCAAGAUGCAAAUUGCUGGGAGAGUGGGCUCUGAACAACAAAAAAUGAAAAGCAAAGGGAAAAAAGAUUAAAAGAACAAAGCAAAAAAGUUGAGGAUGGACAACAUAGGCUGGAUGAGAGAAGUAUAAUGCAAGUUGCAAGUGGCCGACUGGAAAUGAAGGAAAAAAUGGAACGAAGAAGGAAACAUGCCCGAUGGUUGGGAGAGAGGAGGUUAUGGUCUUUUGUAGGCAAACCAGUCAGUCAAAAUGGCUAAUUGACUUAAAUAUCUCCUCCUCUAACCACUUGAGAUUUGUCUAAAAUCUUUUGGAUUACGAUAUACACUUCCCUUAACUUGCUUCCUCAAGCUAAACAUAGGGUAAACUGCAGUAAGCUUGAUCCGAAGGUCUUUGAUCUUUCUUGAACCAAGCGCCUUUAUCAUUCCAUCUACUAAUUGUUAUUUAGAUUUUACAAAUUGCACUUUGAUAUGACCUUUGGUGUCUAGCAAAAGGGUAGUCUACCUUCACAUGUGUAGUGCAGGUGUGAAAAAACUGGAUUCGCUACAAGAUAUAGCACUCCAAUUUUGUUGUCAUGCCAUAGAAUAGGAGGUGUGGAUGACAAAACAGCAUGAUCUUUCAGAAGUGAUUCAAACAGUUGUUGCACAAGCAAGAGACCGGUCUCAACAAAGACACUUAAUUGUAUAAAUGAGGGAGGAGUGAGUCAGAGGGUGUAGUACUUCCUCAUUUUCCUGGACUUUUAUUGUUUCUGUAGCAUAAAUAUUAUGUAAAUGUUUAAACAUGUAAAUUCACACGUAACCAAUGCAAUGAGUCAUAAGGUGGUUUCAGUCACCAUCAUCAUGGCUCCAAGUUAAGUCACGUGAACGACACUUAAUUAUGCGGAGAUACAUCUCGAACUUAAUCUCAAAUGCAACCCUAUAUCAAUAUUACAUUGUGCUGCAUCUUAGGCUACCGCCAUUUCCUUUAACAGAUGUUGCUUUCACCAAACAAGCUGUUUUAAAACUUUUCCCCCAACUGCUACAAAAGUCCUAAAUUUUUUAUUUCAUUACCCUCACAUCCUGAUAGGUGGCCGUGCUUGGAUGAUGGCUCCAUUUUAAGUUGUUUCCCGGCAUUAACUUGUAUGUAAUGGAAAUAGAAAAAGGAAACCGUCAGGAGUGUUCUAUUUCAGCACCGAUUUUUGCCAAGAAAAAAUUUGUCACUAAAAAUGGGAAAACAGUACGUUCUCUGCUUCCAAUUUUUGCUCUCCAAAUGCUUCAUUCUUCGUCUUCUUAUUUCUUCUCUAUUCAAAUGUGCUUUGGGAG
Molecule: RNA transcript, 7942 nt
Organism: Nymphaea colorata (pocket water lily)
Lineage: Eukaryota; Viridiplantae; Streptophyta; Magnoliopsida; Nymphaeales; Nymphaeaceae
Exons: 5
Source: RefSeq, a predicted model, not a curated record